This 486-nucleotide ribosomal RNA is filed under the name uncultured bacterium. RNAcentral's name for it is "partial 16S ribosomal RNA". It matches the Rfam family "Bacterial small subunit ribosomal RNA", at positions 899 to 1397 of the family's 1533-position model. The record is from RNAcentral.
ACUCAAAUGAAUUGACGGGGACCUGCACAAGCGGUGGAGCAUGUGGUUUAAUUCGACGGUAAGCGAGGAACCUUACCUGGGCUUGACAUCUAGCUGCAAGCGCACAGAAAUGUGUGACCUUCGAGGGUGCUAGACAGGUGCUGCACGGUUGUCGUCAGCUCGUGCCGUGAGGUGUUCACUUAAGUGUGAAAACGAGCGCAACCCCUAUCAUCAGUUACAAGUGUCUGAUGAAACUGCCGGCGUCUAAGCCGGAGGAAGGCGGGGAUGACGUCAAAUCAGCGUGGCUCUUACGCCUAGGGCUACACACGUGCUACAAUGGGUAAUUACAAAGGGACGCCAAGUCGUAAGACGGAGCAAAUCCUGCCAAAAUUACCCCCAGUUCGGAUUGAGGGCUGCAACUCGCCCUCAUGAAGCCGGAAUCGCUAGUAACCGUAGAUCAGCCUCGCUACGGUGAAUACGUUCUCAGGUUUUGCACACACCGCCCGU